RNAcentral lists this ribosomal RNA (513 nucleotides) under uncultured bacterium. Its description in RNAcentral is "bacterial SSU rRNA". It matches the Rfam family "Bacterial small subunit ribosomal RNA", at positions 29 to 518 of the family's 1533-position model. The record is from RNAcentral.
AGCGAACGUUAGCGGCGGGCCUAACACAUGCAAGUCGAACGCGAAAGGUCUUCGGACUGAGUAGAGUGGCGCACGGGUGAGUAACACGUAGGUAAUCUACCCUUUGGCGGGGGAUAACGUUCCGAAAGGAGCGCUAAUACCGCAUAAGACCACGUGGUCUCCGGACCGAGUGGGAAAAGGUGGCCUCUUCUUGAAAGCUACCACCGAAGGAUGAGCCUGCGUCCCAUCAGCUAGUUGGUAAGGUAAUGGCUUACCAAGGCAAAGACGGGUAGCUGGUUUGAGAGAAUGAUCAGCCACACUGGCACUGGAACACGGGCCAGACUCCUACGGGAGGCAGCAGUGAGGAAUAUUGGGCAAUGGGCGAAAGCCUGACCCAGCCACGCCGCGUGAGUGAUGAAGGCCCUCGGGUCGUAAAGCUCUGUGGAGAGGGACGAAAACCCUGGUUUCAAAUAGGCUCCAGGCUUGACGGUACCUCUUUAGCAAGCACCGGCUAACUCUGUGCCAGCAGCCGAC